Molecule: ribosomal RNA, 248 nt
Filed under: uncultured crenarchaeote
Lineage: Archaea; Thermoproteati; Thermoproteota
Description: partial 16S ribosomal RNA
Rfam family: Archaeal small subunit ribosomal RNA
Source: RNAcentral
AGCACCUCAAGUGGUCAGGAUGAUUAUUGGGCCUAAAGCAUCCGUAGCUCGUUUUGUAAGUUUUCGGUUAAAUCCAUACGCUUAACGUAUGGGCUGCCGGGAAUACUGCAUAACUAGGAAGUGGGAGAGGUAGACGGUACUCGGUAGGAAGGGGUAAAAUCCUUUGAUCUAUUGAUGACCACCUGUGGCGAAGGCGGUCUACCAGAACACGUUCGACGGUGAGGGAUGAAAGCUGGGGGAGCAAACCG